UACGAGGGGGGCAAGCGUUGUUCGGAAUUAUUGGGCGUAAAGGGUGCGUAGGCGGUUUGAUAAGUCACAUGUGAAAUCUUCGGGCUCAACCCGAAGUCUGCAUGCGAAACUGUCGGGCUUGAGUAUGGGAGAGGUGAGUGGAAUUUCCGGUGUAGCGGUGAAAUGCGUAGAUAUCAAGAGGAACACCUGCGGCGAAGGCGGGUUGCUGGGCCGACACUGACGCUGAUGCGCGAAAGCUAGGGGAGCGAACGGG
This 253-nucleotide ribosomal RNA is filed under the name uncultured bacterium. RNAcentral's name for it is "partial 16S ribosomal RNA". It matches the Rfam family "Bacterial small subunit ribosomal RNA", at positions 524 to 776 of the family's 1533-position model. The record is from RNAcentral.